UUGUGUGUGUAAUCUAAUGUUAGAAAUUGUUUUUUCAACUCUUCACAAUAGUUGUGACGGCAGUUUUUAAUUCCACUUACCUCCGGAUUGUCGAUCCAGCGUGCUUCUGCUGCAGCAUUCAACCGAGAUGAAGUGGGAACUACCAAAGCUUCAGUUAUUUUGUUACACUAUGUGGAAUUUCAUGAAGGAGACUGUUCUGAGGAGAUACCAGCGUAACAGAGUUUUACAAGACAGGGCAAGCAGAGGCGUCUCCUGGACUUCCUGAGCUCGAACUUGUGCCAACUCGUGUACUGGAGAACUACAGGUCCCUCCUCCUCUAUUUUGGGUGGGGAGGUGAGAUGAGGAGGGGGUCAACGAGAAAGAGAUGAAGGACAAGAGUUUCUCCAUUCCACCAGUCCUGCUGGUCCUCAGUCUCCCCUGUUCGACCUCAUCACUCAAUCUUCGUUUAGCCCCUGACAUGUUUUAGCCAAGCACUCCUGAGCUAAUUUAUGUCUGUAAAGACAAGCUUGGCAAAGGGGAGCUUCCAGUAAAAGGCCACUGCCUGAGCCAUUGACCCACACUGCGGCAAAGUGGCUAAUUUAAUUUCUUUUAGAUGGGAG
Long non-coding RNA from Amphiprion ocellaris (clown anemonefish), 599 nucleotides. RefSeq lists it as uncharacterized. NCBI's taxonomy places the organism in Eukaryota, Metazoa, Chordata, Actinopteri, Pomacentridae. The record is from RefSeq and is a predicted model, not a curated record. The transcript is spliced from 3 exons.